ACGUCCUGUAACGGCGGGGUGUUUCAAAUUGCUCUGUGUCAUUGAAUCUCCGAGCAUAUACAUCAGAUGAG
This is a non-coding RNA of Aspergillus fumigatus Af293, 71 nucleotides long. The record is from the annotation of a RefSeq genome assembly. NCBI's taxonomy places the organism in Eukaryota, Fungi, Ascomycota, Eurotiomycetes, Eurotiales, Aspergillaceae.